Molecule: ribosomal RNA, 147 nt
Filed under: uncultured Microbacterium sp.
Lineage: Bacteria; Bacillati; Actinomycetota; Actinomycetes; Micrococcales; Microbacteriaceae
Description: partial 16S ribosomal RNA
Rfam family: Bacterial small subunit ribosomal RNA
Source: RNAcentral
AAUAUUGCACAAUGGGCGCAAGCCUGAUGCAGCAACGCCGCGUGAGGGAUGACGGCCUUCGGGUUGUAAACCUCUUUUAGCAGGGAAGAAGCGAAAGUGACGGUACCUGCAGAAAAAGCGCCGGCUAACUACGUGCCAGCAGCCGCG